RNAcentral lists this ribosomal RNA (248 nucleotides) under uncultured bacterium. RNAcentral describes it as "partial 16S ribosomal RNA". It matches the Rfam family "Bacterial small subunit ribosomal RNA", at positions 96 to 334 of the family's 1533-position model. The record is from RNAcentral.
CGGCGGACGGGUGAGUAAUACAUGGAUAAUCUGCCUUUAGGACCGGGACAACCCAGGGAAACUUGAGCUAAUACCGGAUAAGACCACAGAAUCUCCGGAUUCAGUGGUAAAAGGUGGCCUUCGGGCUAUCACCUAUUGAUGAGUCCAUGUCCCAUCAGGUAGUUGGUGAGGUAACGGCCCACCAAGCCGAAGACGGGUAGCCGACCUUAGCGGGUGAUCGGCCACACGGGGACUGAGACACGGCCCCG